CUCCUGACCUCGGGUCUACCCGCCUUGGCCUCCCAAAGUGCUAGGAUUACAGGUAUGAGCCACCGUACCCAGCCACUUGGCUGUUCUUUACUUGAAUUGGUUUCAUUUUGUUGUUUCCUUUUUCCUUAUGGAAAUGCAAAUUCAUUCCCUCAACACAUACAUCUGUGUGACACAGGCCUGGUGUUGCUGCUGUGGAUAAGUGAAGAAGAUGAGGACUGUGCCCAGAAAUAAGAUUUCCUUAGCACAUUACAGGGCAUUAAUUUCUCACUGAAUAGAACUUUAACGAACUUUAACGGUAUCUGACAAGGUUAGAUGUGUAGGCAUCUCAUUGUCAUUCAUUUCUAUGUAGUCUAUAAUUUUGGUUUUGAUUUUAAACAUUUUAUUAUUGAAAUGUCAAACACAUA
This is a long non-coding RNA of Sapajus apella (tufted capuchin), 404 nucleotides long. RefSeq lists it as uncharacterized. The transcript has 2 exons. NCBI's taxonomy places the organism in Eukaryota, Metazoa, Chordata, Mammalia, Primates, Cebidae. The record is from RefSeq and is a predicted model, not a curated record.